This is a non-coding RNA of Cephalotus follicularis, 47 nucleotides long. Lineage: Eukaryota; Viridiplantae; Streptophyta; Magnoliopsida; Oxalidales; Cephalotaceae. The record is from Rfam.
UUAUCGGUUUCUCUCUAAACCACCACAUUAUUUGAAUAAAGUUCAGU